AUUCCAGUUCCAAUAGCGUAUAUUAAAGUUGUUGCAGUUAAAAAGCUCGUAGUUGGAUUUCUGUGAGAGUGCCGGUGUCGGCUGAUGCUUGUACGCAGGCGCUCUUACAUCCUUCUGUUAACUGUUCUUGGCAUUUUAUUGCUGGUUCAGGGCUCAGAUAUUUUACCUUGAGAAAAUUAGAGUGUUUCAGGCAGGCUUAUGCCGGAAUACAUUAGCAUGGAAUAAUGGAACAGGACCUGUGCGUCUCUCGGGGCGCCGGUCUCCGUUGUUGGUUUCGGGGACUAAUGUAAUGAUUAAUAGGGAUAGUUGGGGGCAUUAGUAUUUAAUAGUCAGAGGUGAAAUUCUCGGAUUUGUUAAAGACUAACUUAUGCGAAAGCAUUUGCCAAGGAUGUUUUCAUUA
This 400-nucleotide ribosomal RNA is filed under the name Holosticha sp. Its description in RNAcentral is "partial small subunit ribosomal RNA". It matches the Rfam family "Eukaryotic small subunit ribosomal RNA", at positions 582 to 975 of the family's 1831-position model. Lineage: Eukaryota; Ciliophora; Spirotrichea; Urostylida; Holostichidae. The record is from RNAcentral.